Molecule: long non-coding RNA, 1677 nt
Filed under: Homo sapiens (human)
Lineage: Eukaryota; Metazoa; Chordata; Mammalia; Primates; Hominidae
Description: HSALNT0113042
Source: RNAcentral
CUAUUUCCCAGGCUGUACACAUUUGCUGAAUCUUCACAAAGGCAGGGUAACCAUGGUGAGAAAGAUGUUGAUGGCUUGGAUGGAGAACAGCUCUGUGGCCUGUUGUGCUUCAAUUUCGUCAUCUUCAAAACCAGGAAGAGCUAUAUUCAUCUUAUCUCACAAAGCUGAUUAACAUAAAUGAAGGAGCCUUGGAAAAUGGAAAGCAUUAUACAAAUGCUUUACAAGAAUUUCAAGGAGAUAUAAAAAUAAUGCAAAUUGUCUGGAAGAACUCGCCUCUCCUCUCCUUACUCCACCCUGCUAUUGGGAAAAAGAUUAACUGAUGGUGAGUGGUGAGUCUAUAAUACCAUCACUCCAUGUUCCUGGAUGUUAAAAGUCACUCACACAUGUGACUUCUGUCUUUACAACACAUGAAGUAGGUAAGGCCAGAAUUCUGCUUCCAGCUAACUGGGAGAGGUAGUCUGUUCCCAAAGACUUAAAAUAUCCUCAGGUCAGGAGUUUCAAAGUCUACACUUAGAGGGAAGAACCAGGAAGUCCGUAAAGUCAUAGGUUUCAACCGCAUCCUUCAAUUUAGUAUUUCUAACAACAAUGCUGGUAUUUUGAUAUCCAUCUCUUUAAUACCUGCUUCUAUUUCCAACUUGUUUAGAACUUGAAGAGGGAGAUAAGGUUUAAUUUUGUGCCUUCCCCAAGCCCAGCAUUUAGGGAUGCAGAGAUAUUAUGUAUUUUAAGCAUGUGCUGUAGUAGCCAAUGGGAAUCCAGAAUGUUGUUGUUUAUUUGCAUUUUAAUUUACUACAGAAUUGUUGAUUUUAGGCCCUUUGAUCCAAUGCUAAUUUAAAUCAUUUUCAAUAGAACAUUGUUUAUUUCCCUUCAUGCUUUAUAACUCUAAAUAAUAAAAAAUACCAUCUUUCACUUUAAAGUCCAUAUUCUCCAGGCAUUAUUUUUGAGCUUCACAUAGGCUUAGAAGAAAAACUGAUCAACAGUAGUGAUGUGGUGGUUGUGGAAGCAGUUGCAUAGCUUAGAUAGCUCAGGUUUUAAAUCUCACCUUUGCCUUAUGUUAACUGUGUGAACAGGUUAAAAUUACUUUGAUCUCUCUACACCUGUUUCCUUGUAUGUAAAAUGAGAGUAACAAAAGAGUAGCUGGGAAGAUUAGUGAGCUAAGACAUGCACAGUGAUUACCAUGUCUCCUGCCAUAUACGCCUCAAAAAUUUAGCUCUUAUUAUACUUGUUUGGUUCAUAGUAGGUGAAGUGUUUGGUAGAAAAAUUGGGAAUUCAUUCCUUUCUUGAUUAGAGUGAAUGACAAUCCAUUUGCAGAAAGCUGCAGAAAGACCGCUCCAGAAAUAGAAUGAGGCAACCGCUCUGGAGAAUUGAAAACUAACGGGAGCUACGCUCCACAAAAGAUAAGGAAAUAAAAAUGCCAGGAACAAUAUUCUGAGAAGAAGGGAAAACAAAAGAACAGAAAAAUUAUCAGUUAUAUAGCGGGGAAAAAUCUGAAAGGAAAAAAUCUCAAGAGAAGGGGACUAAAGAAGUAUAAAGCUGAUUAUUCUAUAUUGAUCGACCCAUCAAUGUGCUAAUCAAGCAGUAAGCAGAAGGUUGCAGGAUGGAAGUAUGGAUUCUUCCUGACCAUUCGUUACGCAGUAGAUGCUUUCUCUACUUAAUGACAACAGCAAUAGGCAACUGGAA